Molecule: long non-coding RNA, 561 nt
Filed under: Mytilus galloprovincialis (Mediterranean mussel)
Lineage: Eukaryota; Metazoa; Mollusca; Bivalvia; Mytilida; Mytilidae
Source: RNAcentral
AAAAGUUUCAAAGAAACAAAGUUUCAGUUUGACUUGAGAGUUGAGAAACUAUGAUAAUUGCAAAAGACAAGCAAAAAUUCUGAAUCACUGAAUAUAGACCAUCAAACAGAGCUGCCCCUUCUGCCAAAACAAAUCUCAAUUUUUCGGAAAACAUUUGAAAUACUCUGUAGAGCCUCCAGGAUUACUUGGACAUGUCUUCCCAUUUGAAAAUUUCUGUAUUCGGUCCUGUCUUUCAUGUAUUGUCAAAAUAUUAAUUUACAUGUAUAUAUAUAAGAAUUGCACUUCCAAUUUUCAUCAGGACGCAAAAAUAAGCCAACUUGAAGGUUCUGUGUUGAAGGCUGUAUUGUAAAAUAAUACUGCUUACUUUAACUUCAUUGUCUUGGAUGGAGAGUUGUCUCAUUGGCACUCGUACCACAUCUUCUUAUUUGUGUACUAGUGUUGUACUCAUGUUGUUUUUGUAUCAGGAUUAUAUGUUCUACUAACCUCUAGUUUUCAGUAAGUGUUUAUUUCUGCCAAUUUAAAGCACAAAAGUGCACACGCUAAAAUGUAUCGCCUUCUUUA